CACAGUGCUCUGCACCAAGACAGAAGAAGUCCAUGGUUCAGCGCCCAGAUGGUGGGUUUGGUAUUAAGAACCUGUGAGACCUUUUUUUGGCCAAUCAUGUAUCAAUCAGCAUGAACAGAAUUCGAGCCGGGCAUUUAUGAUUGUCUGGACAGGAUGCAAGUGGGUGGACUUGCAAAUAUGGUGGCUUGUUCUCCCUAGCCACACUCCCAACAUCUGUUACCACAGAGGUCCUGUCCUUGUUGUUCCAAAAGGAAGAUCCUCAGACCCUAUACCUCUGAGCAACUCUGAGUCCACAGAUGGAAUACAGUGCACAUAUUGGUCGCAGCUAAAUCUACAACUCUGUGGGCUGUUUGUUUAUGUCUGGAUGGUCAGCUGUAUACAUGGCCUGUGCAAAUAUGAAAGAAAGUGUUGUGUGCCUAAUAAAAAUAUCCUGAUUUCUCUUU
Long non-coding RNA from Alosa alosa (allis shad), 443 nucleotides. RefSeq lists it as uncharacterized. The record is from RefSeq and is a predicted model, not a curated record. The transcript is spliced from 2 exons. Lineage: Eukaryota; Metazoa; Chordata; Actinopteri; Clupeiformes; Clupeidae.